MicroRNA precursor from Oryza sativa Indica Group (long-grained rice), 207 nucleotides. It matches the Rfam family "MIR812 microRNA precursor family". The record is from Rfam. Lineage: Eukaryota; Viridiplantae; Streptophyta; Magnoliopsida; Poales; Poaceae.
AAUAAGUGCAGUUUGUACUAUUCAUGUUCAACGUUGACUGUCCGUCUUAUUUGAAAAUUUUUUAUGAUUAGUAUUUUUAUUGCUAUUAGAUAAUAAAACAUGAAUAGUACUUUAUGUGUGACUAAAUGUUUUUAAUUUUUUCAUAAAUUUUUCAAAUAAGACGGACGGUCAAACGUUGAACAUAAAUAGUGCAAAACUACACUUAUU